This 1171-nucleotide long non-coding RNA is filed under the name Macaca fascicularis (crab-eating macaque). RNAcentral's name for it is "lncRNA (ENSMFAG00000057692.1)". The record is from RNAcentral. Lineage: Eukaryota; Metazoa; Chordata; Mammalia; Primates; Cercopithecidae.
AUGUCCCCAGUAGGUAGAAUACCAAGACUCAGGAAGAAAAGUGAUAUUGGGAUUGCCCCUGAUUAUUCCCACAGACCCAUUUGGAUAAUUUAUGCUUUCUGUCUCUGAAACUCUGUGGGUCAAAGACCCAGAAGUUUUGAACCUCAGAGAGGGAAUGAUUCCACUAGAGGACACAGCAAGAGUAUCACCAACUUUGAAUUCUGACUGCUACCUGGUUACUUGGAGCUGUUGAAUGUGGGAUGUCCCUUAGAUGAGGUGUGUCCUAAGAUUAGGUAGCUUUCUUUGACAGAGGUCAAUGCUGAGGGAGGAACUCGGCUAUGAGCCUUCAGCAAGCCAUGACUCCUGAGGAAAUAAUGGUCUUCAUCUUGAAGAGGGGAUUGGCCAACAACCACAGCAUCCACUACAGUCCAUUCCUUGCAGUGCUGGGCAGUGUACAACUUUUAUGGACAUUUCACCCCAUCUGGGAACAGCUUUCUCAGGAUUCUGGUACUGUUUCUGUGAGCAAGCCCUAGUCUGCAUGCAACUCUCCACCACGGAACUUCAUUUGCAGAGACUCUGCCCUUCAUAUCUCAAUUUCCCCUUUCCUCAGAGGGACAUUAAAUAAUUUGCAAUAAAUCCACUGCUUAUAAAUAACCUUACAGAAAGUAUAUUGACCUGUAAACAUAGCAUCGUCUGCCCACCUAUGACAUUUUUCAGCUUGUAAGGCAGGUAUCUUUCUCUAAAACUUACCUGGAAAACUGGUAUAGAAUUCUCCCUAAGAGUUUUAAUUUUCAGGGGACACAAGUGCAAAAAAGCAGUUACACUUGCUGUAUUCAUUAGUUUGCAAGGGCUGCUGUAACCAGCACCACAAGCUGAAUGGCUUAAACAAAAGAAAUAUACCGCUCACAGAUCUAGAGGCUGGAAGUUCAAGAUUAAGGCAUUGGCAGGUAAGUUCCUUCUGAGGGCUGAGAGGGAGAAUCUGUUCUAGGCUGUUCCUCUCCCCUAACUUCCAGUGAUUUGCUGGCAACUUAUGGUCUUCCCUGGCUUAUGGGACAUUACCCCAAUCUCAUCCUUUGUCUUCACACAGCAUUCUCCCUGUGUGAGUGUCUCUGGUCCAAAUUUCCCUUUUUAUAAGGACAUCAAUCAUACUGGAUUAGGAGCCUACCCUAUUCUACCAUGAUCUCAUCUUAAC